Molecule: non-coding RNA, 1258 nt
Organism: Malus domestica (apple)
Lineage: Eukaryota; Viridiplantae; Streptophyta; Magnoliopsida; Rosales; Rosaceae
Source: RefSeq, a predicted model, not a curated record
CAAAACUUUUUGGACAAAAAAACCCCCGAAACAAAAAAAAAUCACAACUGGCCGAAAAUAAUAGAAACAAAUUCGCAAGGGUAAUUUUAUCAUAAAAAAUAGACAAAUGGGAAAUAAAAAAAAUUAAAAAGCUAAAAAAAAGGAAAAAGAAAGAAAAAAGACAUGAGUGAAAAAAAUAAAGGUGGUGUAUCGUUUUCAACCGUUUGAUUCCCCCACUUUCUCAAUAACCUCUCUCAAUUAACCAUUUCUUCCCUCAAACAGAGAUCAGCUUCACAUCCACUACAAUUGCACGUUUGAAUCAAAAAGAUCAGUUGACCUCCUCAGCCUAAAUCUCAUCCUUUUCUCCCAUACGCUCAAAACGAAAAGUGGUGUGGCGAGGUUUUGCCGGGCGAAGUCAGGGUUCUGGAGUGACAAAGUGAAGUUGCUGGUCGCGGCGGAGGAAGGAUUUACUCUGGUUCUUGGCAGUGGGAAGGACUUGAGGAGUUUAAGAGAGAUGAGUUAGUGAAGGUUGAUGGAGAGGGGCAGUGUGUUAUGAAAGAUCAUGGGUAUUUUGGUACGUUUAGCCUUAGCUCCAUGCUUUAAAUUCGAGUCCUGUGAUUUCAUUUGUUGGAGAAAGUUUAAAGCUUUAUAUUGCCAAUGGUUGCGUAGUUCUCUUCAAUUUGUAUGGUUGUGAUGAUACAGAAAUAAUGAGUUUACGUUCAAAUUUUCCAAGACUUUAGAGGUAACCAAAUUGACCCUUACAAUCUUUUAAGUUGCCAUUGCAUUCAGAUUAUUUUUUUGGUUUUAUCAAGCGAAAGUUAGAAUUGUUACUCUCUUUGAUUUUGUUAAUUAAUGUUGAUAAUUUUUGUGUAGAAAAGGUGGCAGUCUCUCCUCUGUCAAGGGAGGAGUUAUUUGUUGUUGGGGAUCUUAUGCGCAACCAGAUUUGAGAACCAAUAAGAUGCAUGCUUGAUCUGUAUGGAGUGGAGUGGGGUUAUCUGCGCAUGUAAUUUUAUGCAGAGUUUCAUAAGUGGGGUUCAGUACCUAAUAUAUCCUCAAAUUCCUAAUACAAGCGAUCAGACUAAUUAAUUAUUUAAUUUAUUGUUUUUUUUUUUUGAAUUUUUCAUUGCAUAAAUAAACUUGGGGUUUCUGAAUUUCGGAUGUGUUUUUUGAAACAGUGUUGCAAUUUGGCUGCACAGAGGGACAAUAAUAAUUUUUUCUUGACAUGAUUAUGAAAUGCCCAGGCGAGAAAGGCACUCAUCGACUCAUAUUCCUUAAAGGU